AGGGACCUUCUGCCUGCCCACCUGGCCCUGCUCCCUGCUUGGAUUGGGUGGUGUUGAUUGAGAUCAGCGGGCAGAAUGACCCUCCAGUGUUUGGAGGGCCGGGUCCCUGGACUGAGAGAUGGGGAGGCUCGCUGUCAGUGUGGGACGCAUUCAAGGCAGCUGUCCCCAUAGAACCAGCUAACGGCUGUGAUGGAGUUACCUUCGGGGCCGUGGGGUCCCAGGAAAGGGAGAGCUGCAGGCAGCUGGGGUGCUGGGGGAGGCUUCACAGAGGUGAGGACAUGCUUCCCCUGUUAACCUGGGAAUGGUUUCCACUUUUUUACACCUCUCUAUGGCCCUGCCUCUGUCUGAGUGCUG
This 354-nucleotide long non-coding RNA is filed under the name Equus caballus (horse). Its description in RNAcentral is "lncRNA (ENSECAG00000048694.1)". The record is from RNAcentral. Lineage: Eukaryota; Metazoa; Chordata; Mammalia; Perissodactyla; Equidae.